This 249-nucleotide ribosomal RNA is filed under the name uncultured yeast. RNAcentral describes it as "partial 26S ribosomal RNA". It matches the Rfam family "Eukaryotic large subunit ribosomal RNA", at positions 36 to 281 of the family's 3401-position model. The record is from RNAcentral. Lineage: Eukaryota; Fungi.
UGCCAUAUCAAUAAGCGGAGGAAAAGAAACCAACAGGGAUUGCCUCAGUAGCGGCGAGUGAAGCGGCAAAAGCUCAAAUUUGAAAUCUGGCGUCUUUGGCGUCCGAGUUGUAAUUUGAAGAAGGUAUCUUUGGGCCCGGCUCUUGUCUAUGUUCCUUGGAACAGGACGUCACAGAGGGUGAGAAUCCCGUGCGAUGAGAGGACCCGGGUCUGUGUAAAGUUCCUUCGACGAGUCGAGUUGUUUGGGAAU